RNAcentral lists this ribosomal RNA (253 nucleotides) under uncultured bacterium. Its description in RNAcentral is "partial 16S ribosomal RNA". It matches the Rfam family "Bacterial small subunit ribosomal RNA", at positions 524 to 776 of the family's 1533-position model. The record is from RNAcentral.
UACGAAGGGGGCUAGCGUUGCUCGGAAUCACUGGGCGUAAAGGGUGCGUAGGCGGGGCUUUAAGUCAGGGGUGAAAUCCUGGAGCUCAACUCCAGAACUGCCUUUGAUACUGAAGAUCUUGAGUUCGGGAGAGGUGAGUGGAACUCCGAGUGUAGAGGUGAAAUUCGUAGAUAUUCGGAAGAACACCAGUGGCGAAGGCGGCUCACUGGCCCGGUACUGACGCUGAGGUGCGAAAGCGUGGGGAGCAAACAGG